This is a long non-coding RNA of Metopolophium dirhodum (rose-grain aphid), 358 nucleotides long. RefSeq lists it as uncharacterized. The record is from RefSeq and is a predicted model, not a curated record. The transcript is spliced from 2 exons. NCBI's taxonomy places the organism in Eukaryota, Metazoa, Arthropoda, Insecta, Hemiptera, Aphididae.
UGAGUACGAAACAAUACGACUAAUACAUUUCUAUUUGUUUCAAAUAGAUAAAACAUUUUUUUUUCUAUACUUUCAGUUUUCACUCUAACCCUCAAAAACCAACCAACAAAACAAAAAUGGGCGCUGAAAAGGUAUCCAUGAACAUCGUUGUCGUCGGACAAGUCCAAUCUGCCAAGGCCAUCAAGACCGUCGCCAAGGCCACACCAGCAACUAGCCAACUGGUGAACUGCUAAUUCGUGUGUUCCAUAAAUCUCAAAACUCAACAAUGCCAUAGCCCAAACAGUACAAUAAUAUGUAAUUCAUAUAUCAGUAUUGACACCGCCAAAUAAAUCAGUUAUUUCCGAUGAAUAUAAUAUAA